RNAcentral lists this ribosomal RNA (254 nucleotides) under uncultured bacterium. RNAcentral's name for it is "partial 16S ribosomal RNA". It matches the Rfam family "Bacterial small subunit ribosomal RNA", at positions 524 to 776 of the family's 1533-position model. The record is from RNAcentral.
UACGUAGGUGGCAAGCGUUGUCCGGAUUUACUGGGCGUAAAGGGCGCGUAGGCGGCCACCGCAAGUCGACUGUGAAAUCUCCGGGCUUAACCCGGAAAGGUCAGCCGAUACUGCGGGGCUAGAGUGCAGAAGGGGCAACUGGAAUUCUCGGUGUAGCGGUGAAAUGCGUAGAUAUCGAGAGGAACACCUGCGGCGAAGGCGGGUUGCUGGGCUGACACUGACGCUGAGGCGCGAAAGUGUGGGGAGCGAACAGG